RNAcentral lists this long non-coding RNA (479 nucleotides) under Marmota monax (woodchuck). The record is from RNAcentral. Lineage: Eukaryota; Metazoa; Chordata; Mammalia; Rodentia; Sciuridae.
AUAUAUAUAUACUGAACAAAGUUCAACAUAAUAUCUCCAAUUGUUAUAUUUCCUUUUUACAUUGCCAAGUAAUCUGCAAGCAAUAUUAUUUUCUUCUGUCACCUGUCACCUCUACUCCUUUUUUUUGUUUUUCUGUUGUUGUGGUUGCUGCUGUUAUCCUGUAUCAUUUGGACUCUUUUUUGCAAGUAUAAUGAAUUUUAGAGCCAGCUGUAAAGAACUUUUAUGUAUUUUACAGUUAGAUUUAGGUUACUUUGUAAAGGUUUGUCAACUGUUGAUUCUAAAUUAUAAUCAUAAAUUUAUAUACUACUGGUAAAUAUAGUGCAUGUAUAUUAAAACAUUAUUAGGAAUUUUAGUGAAAUAAUUUUUAUGCACACUGAAAUAAGAAUAAUGGUAGUCAUAGGACUCUCUCCUCUCUAUUUUUAAAAUUCCUUUCCAGACAUAAGGCAAAGAUUAACAUAAGAAAGUUUACUAAAAGACAC